Long non-coding RNA from Cannabis sativa, 470 nucleotides. RefSeq lists it as uncharacterized. The transcript has 3 exons. NCBI's taxonomy places the organism in Eukaryota, Viridiplantae, Streptophyta, Magnoliopsida, Rosales, Cannabaceae. The record is from RefSeq and is a predicted model, not a curated record.
CUCAGCUCUUGGCUGAACCCUAUUCUCCCUCUCCCUUCAAUCUUUUCACUUCAAAUCUUUCUCUCUUGUGUGUUGUUGAGCUUGUUGGAGCUUAGGGGAUUUUGGUGUGCUUUGAUUGUGAGAACUUUGAGGAUUACCGGCACUUGGUCAGGAGCACCCGGGGAUUUGGAAUCUCCAUAUUUGCGGGACAUCAGGAAAGGGUAAAUCUGUCUCUGAUCAGCCAUGAGUAUGGGAGUUGGGCGAUGUAUGUACAUGUUUGGGCCACGCUAGACCAAAUGGGUUGGGGCCUACUAGUGUUGAAACUUUUGUAACUCUAUUUUGCCGCUUAGGUCGGCUAAGGGGAAAAGACUUGUAAUAUUUUGUAAAAUGAUUUUUGGGAUCCCGAAACAUGUAACUUUUAUUUGUAAGGUUAAAAUUAUUACAGGUUUAUUUUCAUUCCGUUUUCGUUUAAAGUUUAAUUUCUGCGCUUA